Molecule: ribosomal RNA, 1491 nt
Filed under: uncultured Sunxiuqinia sp.
Lineage: Bacteria; Pseudomonadati; Bacteroidota; Bacteroidia; Marinilabiliales; Prolixibacteraceae
Description: bacterial SSU rRNA
Rfam family: Bacterial small subunit ribosomal RNA
Source: RNAcentral
AGUAUGAUUAUGCGCUCACUGCUGAACGCUAGCGGGCAGGCCUAACACAGUGCAAGUCGAAUCGGGAUUGAGAGCUUGCUCUCAUGAGAGUGGCGCACGGGUGAGUAACGCGUAUGCAACCUGCCUAUAACUGAGGGAUAGCCCAUAGAAAUGUGGAUUAAUACCUCAUAGUUCUUGUUCUGUCCGCAUGGACUGAAUAGAUAAAGCUCCGGCGGUUAUAGAUGGGCAUGCGUGACAUUAGUUUGUUGGUGAGGUAACGGCUCACCAAGACUACGAUGUCUAGGGGUUCUGAGAGGAUGAUCCGCCCACACUGGUACUGAGACACGGACCAGACUCCUACGGGAGGCAGCAGUGAGGAAUAUUGGUCAAUGGGCGCAAGCCUGAACCAGCCAUCCCGCGUGCAGGAUGAAGGCCCUAUGGGUCGUAAACUGCUUAUUAUACACCAAGAAAAACACCCACGUGUGGGUGCCCGACGGUAGUGUAUGAAUAAGCAUCGGCUAACUCCGUGCCAGCAGCCGCGGUAAUACGGAGGAUGCAAGCGUUAUCCGGAUUCAUUGGGUUUAAUAGGUGCGUAGGCGGCUUACUAAGUCAGUGGUGAAAUCUUGCCGCUUAACGGUAAAAUUGCCAUUGAUACUGAUAAGCUUGAGUACAAUUGAGGUAAGCGGAAUGUGUAGUGUAGCGGUGAAAUGCUUAGAUAUGUGCCAGAACACCGAUUGCGAAGGCAGCUUACUAAACUGUUACUGACGCUGAUGCACGAAAGCGUGGGGAGCGAACAGGAUUAGAUACCCUGGUAGUCCACGCCGUAAACGAUGAUCACUCAGCGUAUGCGAUACACAGUAUGCGGCCAAGCGAAAGCAUUAAGUGAUCCACCUGGGGAGUACGAUCGCAAGGUUGAAACUCAAAGGAAUUGACGGGGGCCCGCACAAGCGGAGGAACAUGUGGUUUAAUAUCAUGAUACGCGAGGAACCUGCACUGGGCUUAAAUGGGGAACGACAGCUGCCGAAAGGUGGCCUUCUAUCGACGUUCUUCAAGGUGCUGUCAUGGUUGUCGUCAGCUGCCGUGAGGUGUCGAGGUUAAGUCCCAUAACGAGCGCAAUCCCUUAUCGUAUAGUUGCCAGCGGGUCAUGCCGGGGACUCUAGCGAGACUGCCACCGUAAGGUGUGAGGAAGGUGGGGAUGACGUCAAAUCAGCACGGCCCUUAUGUCCAGGGCUACACACGUGUUACAACUGCCAACUACAAACGCAGCUACUUGGUGACAAGAUGCUAAUCUCUAAAGUUGGUCUCAGUUCGGAUCGAAGUCUGCAACCCGACUUCGUGAAGCUGGAUUCGCUAGUAAUCGCAUAUACAGCCAUGAUGCGGUGAAUACGUUCCCGGGCCUUGUACACACCGCCCGUCAAACAAUGGAAGCUGGGGGUACCUGAAGUCUGUAACCGCAAGGAGCGGCCUAGGGUAAAACUAGUAACUGGUGUUAAGUCGUAACAAGGUAACAUC